RNAcentral lists this non-coding RNA (23 nucleotides) under Arabidopsis thaliana (thale cress). The record is from RNAcentral. Lineage: Eukaryota; Viridiplantae; Streptophyta; Magnoliopsida; Brassicales; Brassicaceae. RNAcentral also lists the same sequence under 3 other names.
CGGAAGGGCACCACCAGGAGUGG